RNAcentral lists this transfer RNA (67 nucleotides) under Pherusa bengalensis. RNAcentral's name for it is "tRNA-Asp". Lineage: Eukaryota; Metazoa; Annelida; Polychaeta; Terebellida; Flabelligeridae. The record is from RNAcentral.
GAAAAAUUAGUUAAACAAUAACAUAGGAUUGUCAUUCCUAAAUUACUAUCUUUUAUAGUAUUUUUCU